This 129-nucleotide ribosomal RNA is filed under the name Sinocyclocheilus anshuiensis. The record is from RNAcentral. Lineage: Eukaryota; Metazoa; Chordata; Actinopteri; Cypriniformes; Cyprinidae.
UAUUACAGCCAUAUCACCCUUCAGCCCAAGACUGGUUGCCCACUGAAGCUAAGCAGGGUUGAGCCUGGUCAGUACCUGGAUGGGAGAAAAAUCCCAUGGCACUUCUCGUAAAGAGUAGGGGUGUAACCC